AGAACGACGCUGGCGGCAGGCUUAACACAUGCAAGUCGAACGCCCCGCAAGGGAGUGGCAGACGGGUGAGUAACGCGUGGGAAUCUACCCAGAACUUCGGAACAACUGAGGAAACUUCAGCUAAUACCGGAUACGCCUACGGGGGAAAGAUUUAUCGGUUCUGGAUGAGCCCGCGUUGGAUUAGCUAGUUGGUGAGGUAAUGGCUCACCAAGGCGACGAUCCAUAGCUGGUCUGAGAGGAUGAUCAGCCACACUGGGACUGAGACACGGCCCAGACUCCUACGGGAGGCAGCAGUGGGGAAUAUUGGACAAUGGGCGAAAGCCUGAUCCAGCCAUGCCGCGUGAGUGAUGAAGGCCUUAGGGUUGUAAAGCUCUUUCAGUAGGGAAGAUAAUGACGGUACCUACAGAAGAAGCCCCGGCUAACUUCGUG
Molecule: ribosomal RNA, 429 nt
Filed under: uncultured bacterium
Lineage: Bacteria
Description: bacterial SSU rRNA
Rfam family: Bacterial small subunit ribosomal RNA
Source: RNAcentral